GGGUAAUCUGCCUUGGAGUGGGGGAUAACUAGUCGAAAGACUAGCUAAUACCGCAUAAGACCACGAGAUCUGCGGAUCUUGAGGUCAAAGGUUUUUCGCUCUAAGAUGAGCCCGCGUAAGAUUAGCUAGUUGGUGAGGUAAUGGCUCACCAAGGCGACGAUCUUUAACUGGUCUGAGAGGAUGAUCAGUCACACUGGAACUGAGACACGGUCCAGACUCCUACGGGAGGCAGCAGUAGGGAAUAUUGCGCAAUGGGGGAAACCCUGACGCAGCGACGCCGCGUGAGUGAUGAAGGACUUCGGUUCGUAAAGCUCUGUUGCAAGGGAAAAAUAAAGUGAUUGUACCUUGUGAGGAAGGGUCGGCUAACUUCGUGCCAGCAGCCGCGGUAAGACGAGGGACCCUAGCGUUGUUCGGAAUCAUUGGGCGUAAAGCGGGUGUAGGUGGCUUUGUAAGUCAGGUGUGAAAUCCCAGGGCUCAACCCUGGACGUGCAUUUGAUACUGCGAAGCUUGAGUGCUGGAGAGGUUACUAGAAUUCCAGGU
Molecule: ribosomal RNA, 540 nt
Filed under: uncultured bacterium
Lineage: Bacteria
Description: bacterial SSU rRNA
Rfam family: Bacterial small subunit ribosomal RNA
Source: RNAcentral